This 494-nucleotide ribosomal RNA is filed under the name uncultured bacterium. RNAcentral's name for it is "partial 16S ribosomal RNA". It matches the Rfam family "Bacterial small subunit ribosomal RNA", at positions 28 to 507 of the family's 1533-position model. The record is from RNAcentral.
GACGAACGCUGGCGGCGUGCUUAACACAUGCAAGUCGAACGGUGAAGCGCCUUUCUUUUUGGUGGUUGUGGAUGCUUGGCUAACGGGUGAGUAACACGUGCGUAACCUGCCUCCUUCUUCUGGAUAACCGCAUGAAAGUGUGGCUAAUACGUGAUAUUCUGGGUUUGUCGCAUGAUGGGUCUGGGGAAGAUGUUGUUUCGGUGGGGGAUGGGCUGGUGGCCUCUCAGCUUGUUGGUGGUGUGGUGGCGUACUAAGGCGGUGACGGGUAGUCGGCGUGAGGGGGUGGACGGCCGCACUGGGACUGAGGAGCGGCCCAGACGCCUACGAGGGGCAGCAGUGGGGAAUAUUGCAGAAUGGGGGGAAGACUGAUGAAGCGGCGACGCGUGAGGGAUGAUGGCCUCCGGGUUGUGAACAUCUUUCGCCAGUGACGAGGGCCUGCCUCGGUUGUGAGUGGGUUGACGGUAGCUGGAUAAGAAGCGCCGGCUAACUACGUG